Molecule: ribosomal RNA, 394 nt
Filed under: uncultured bacterium
Lineage: Bacteria
Description: bacterial SSU rRNA
Rfam family: Bacterial small subunit ribosomal RNA
Source: RNAcentral
GGAUUAGAAACCCCGGUAGUCCACGCCGUAAACGAUGGGUGCUAGGUGUGGGGGGUUAUCCACUCCCUCCGUGCCGUAGCUAACGCAUUAAGCACCCCGCCUGGGGAUUACGACCGCAAGGUUAAAACUCAAAGGAAUUGACGGGGGCCCGCACAAGCGGCGGAGCAUGUGGCUUAAUUCGACGCAACGUGAAGAACCUUACCAGGGCUUGAAAUAUACGGAAAAGCCACAGAGAUGUGGUGUCCUUCGGGCCGGUAUACAGGUGGUGCAUGGUUGUCGUCAGCUCGUGCCGUGAGGUGUUGGGUUAAGUCCCGCAACGAGCGCAACCCUUGAUCUUAGUUGCCAGCAUUCAGUUGGGCACUCUAAGGUGACUGCCGGUGACAAACCGGAGGAA